Sorex araneus (European shrew) is the source of this 154-nucleotide small nucleolar RNA. NCBI's taxonomy places the organism in Eukaryota, Metazoa, Chordata, Mammalia, Eulipotyphla, Soricidae. The record is from Ensembl.
UCUGCACACUGUUAGAGCUUGGAGUUGAGGCCACUGAGUGGCCGGUGAACUCUCAGGUGUAGGUAGUGUGCUACACGAGGGGCAAGUCUUUCGCUAGCACCACGAGGGUCUCUGGCCCGAUGAGUGGGCUUUGAUAGUAAUUCUUGCUACAAAU